Molecule: small RNA, 306 nt
Filed under: uncultured bacterium
Lineage: Bacteria
Description: bacterial SSU rRNA
Rfam family: Bacterial small subunit ribosomal RNA
Source: RNAcentral
CGAGAAAGCCCGCAAGGGUGAGUACAGCGGCGCUAUUUGGCCGUAACACGUGGGUAAUCUGCCUCGAAGUCUGGAAUAACACUCCGAAAGGGGUGCUAAUGCCGGAUGAGACCACGGGGGCUUCGGCUCCCGAGGGAAAAGAUGGCCUCUGCAUGCAAGCUAUCGCUUCGAGAUGAGCCCGCGGCCCAUCAGCUCGUUGGCGGGGUAACGGCCCACCAAGGCUACGACGGGUAGCUGGUCUGAGAGGACGAUCAGCCACACUGGAACUGAGACACUGUCCAGACUCCUACGGGAGGCACCAGUGGG